Long non-coding RNA from Setaria italica (foxtail millet), 549 nucleotides. RefSeq lists it as uncharacterized. The record is from RefSeq and is a predicted model, not a curated record. The transcript has 2 exons. NCBI's taxonomy places the organism in Eukaryota, Viridiplantae, Streptophyta, Magnoliopsida, Poales, Poaceae.
UGCUCAGUUCGCGUCGCCGUGGGCUCCUCCUCAGUUUGCGUCGCCGUGGGCUCCUCCUCCCGGGGCCUCGCCUGGGCCUGUCGGAUGGGACCCGACUGCCUUGGCACGCUCCUUCGGCACCAUGGCCCUGACUCCUCCAGUCGGUCAGGACUGGAUCGCAGACUCGGGUGCCACUUUCCAUACUACACCCGACCCUGGAUGUGGCUACCCGGCGACCUCUUCUCCGCUGUGACAGCACCGGGCCCCUUUACUCCCUCCGAUUUCCUGCGUCCACUUCUUCCGCUUCGCCCUCCGCUUCUUCAGCCGCUUUUGCUACCACAGCUUCUUCCACUACAUGGCACCGGCGUCUUGGUCAUCCUGGCCGUGCUGUCCUGACACAGCUUAGUCAUAAUUCCGAUAUACCACGUACUCGGGCUCCUGAUGAGCACCUGUGUCAGGCGUGCCAACUGGGCCGUCAUGUUCGACUUCCUUUUCCUACCUCUUCUUCACAUGCGACCCAUGUAUUCGACCUUGUACAUUGCGAUCUAUGGACAUCUCCUGUUCUAAGCA